RNAcentral lists this transfer RNA (67 nucleotides) under Cotesia flavipes. RNAcentral's name for it is "tRNA-His". Lineage: Eukaryota; Metazoa; Arthropoda; Insecta; Hymenoptera; Braconidae. The record is from RNAcentral.
AUUUAAAUAGUUUAAUUUAAAAACCUUGAUUUGUGGAAUCAAAAAUAUAUUUAAUAUAUUUUAAAUU